GAGGAUGCUACAUUGGGACUUAGUCAGGGUAGCUCAGCUGGU
RNAcentral lists this transfer RNA (42 nucleotides) under Leichhardtia lyonsioides. RNAcentral describes it as "Marsdenia lyonsioides partial tRNA-Phe". The record is from RNAcentral. Lineage: Eukaryota; Viridiplantae; Streptophyta; Magnoliopsida; Gentianales; Apocynaceae.